Pseudomyrmex gracilis is the source of this 779-nucleotide long non-coding RNA. RefSeq lists it as uncharacterized. NCBI's taxonomy places the organism in Eukaryota, Metazoa, Arthropoda, Insecta, Hymenoptera, Formicidae. The record is from RefSeq and is a predicted model, not a curated record. The transcript has 4 exons.
AUAAAACAAUAAUAAUAUUGCAGCAAUAUUUCAAAAACGAUAAUACAAAUAUAAUAUUAUAAUUUUAAGCUAAAUUAGACAAAAAAGAUCAUUUUACUACACUUAUAAAAACAGAAUAAAAAAUAUGUAUCAUUAUAAAAAAACAGUAAUUAUUUUUGUCUGGUUUAGUUAUAUUUUUGAUUAUGUAGCGUACAUUUAUAAAAUAUAGUUUAUAACAGUGAAGCAAUGUCUACACUGAGUUUUAUGAGAGAAUAAAAUCGGAACAAACGAAAACUCGUCUGUUUCGCACAUAUUCUCUACUACUAGAAAGCCUUCUCACUCUACAGCCAUUGGCUGUCAUCGAAUAUCCCGCCAAUUCCGGGCGUAUCACUAUCCUCACAUUGCACGUUGUUCUUCUCCUAUGCACAGACUGGCACAGACCAAUUCUCUUAGUAAACUCAUUGUUAGUAUAAAUAUAAGUUGGCACAUACAAUUGGCAUUGUCUCUUUAUAAGUUUGAAAUUCUGGUUUGACAUCUUUACAGUAUAUAACUGGCAUAUGGGUUUUUUUUCUAUGCCCUCUGAGCCAUUACAACAUUGAUUGCAUCUUUACGGUAUUUUAAGGCUGUUCGUACAAUUUACAGUCAUAUGACGGACAACAAUAUAGCUGAGUACACGUCAAAAUGGCUUGCUCAAGCUACAUUAAGAAUUUCUAGAGAAAAGCAAAGUACUCUACAUAAAGAAAACGACGAAGAUCAGCAAUAGGUGGCUCAAAAUGACUUUUAUUUUAUUUAAACAAAGA